Microcebus murinus (gray mouse lemur) is the source of this 5573-nucleotide non-coding RNA. Lineage: Eukaryota; Metazoa; Chordata; Mammalia; Primates; Cheirogaleidae. The record is from RefSeq and is a predicted model, not a curated record.
UCCAACUCCUGGCCUUAAGCAAUCCUUUCACCUUGGCCUCCCAAAGUGCUGGGAUUACAGGCAUGAGCUUCUUAAAUGUCUAUCUUAGAGGAGCUCUAAGAACAUACUUUAUACAUGUAUUAUUCUGUUCCUUAUUAUAACUUUUUUUGUAAAGGAAAAAUAGUAACAUAAACAUAAGUUGUAAAGAUUUCCUUAACCAAGCCUCCCUAGCACUUCUCUCCCAGUACCAUUUCCCUUGCAGAAGAUCCUAGGAAUAUUUCUGAAGUUCUAUAGCUGAUUUGAAUAUUUGCAAGAGAGUAAAUAAAUAACUAAUAAAUGCUUAAGAUUGUAUAUAAAUCAUGACUUUGUUUAAAUGGCUAUACUAGUUAUCAGUAGUUACUUUGUAAAAUGCACAAUGUGCAUUCGGUUACUAGCAGAAGUAACCUCUGACACUGGUUUCUGCAUAUUGGUUAGCGAUCCCCCCCACACACACUUGGAACUUGGUCAGUUCAUCUAGCUGAGGUACGGACAAAAUAGGGAAACCGGUUGGUGAUUAUCUUUUGGUUACUGUUAAAAAUGAAAAUUCACUGGUAUUGAGAUUAUUCACAUCUUCCAUGCUAUCCAUUUAUAUACUGAGAUAAGGAGAGGUUAUUAAUGGGUGACUUAAGAUUUAGAUGGAAAACAUUUUUGUUGUUUUAGGUCUACCUGGUAAUCAGUAAUUAAUAGCAGAGUGAUUUAAGUUGCUUAAAUCACUUAAGAUGAUGUUCUGUAGAUGUGUUUGUAAUGAACAAAAUUUUAUAUACAUUGAACCUUAUUUGGGACCCUCGCUUACCUCUUUGAGGGUUUGGAAGUGUAUAAAGUGUCAGAUUUUCUGUUUGGUAUUAAGUGUCUUUAUAUCUCCAUGACGACCUGUGAAGAAAGUAAUGGCUUUACUCAUAUUUUAUGUGAGGGUCCAGAGGGUCAGUGAGAUUUAAACAGGUCCAAGGAGAAACAGCACAACCAGUCUUGGCAAGAGUAUCUGACACCAGUGCCACAUGAUCUAUAAAUGGAGGAAUGAAGACAAUUAUGAAAGAAAAAUAGAAACUUCUAAGAAGUAGGAGAGAAAUUGUAAUAUUAGGGUAAAAUUAUUUUCGUACCUGAAACUUAAUAUCUUCUGUAGGCCAUAAAUAGCUUUUGAUAUUCACCACAAUCCUGUCAGAUACUAUGGCAGAGAUUAUUCUCACUUUACAGGUGAGGGCACUGAGGGCUGAGGAGAGAUACAUGCCCAGAGUCACAAAGCUAUUAUCAUCAGCACUAGGUUAAGGAAAAAACCCAGGUCUUCUGACCCUCUUUCAGGGGCCUGUUUCUAAGCUUAUAGUGGAGGGCAGUUCUAACAGUGGUUCUCAACUCUGCUUGCAUUAUUUUUCCUAGAGAGCUUUGGAAAAAUACUAAUGUCUGAGCCACAUCCUCAAGGAUCCUCAUUUAAUGAGUCUCAGGACCUAUAUAUAAAUCAGUGUUUUAUUUAGAAGGAACAUUUUACAAUGAUAACAGAUACGUGGAAUGCAGAGAUUUAAGCAGGACUAUCAUUGAGUGGUGAGAGUGCCAUGACAGAGGCUGUGGAAAGUUUCAGACUGCCAGAAUGGAAGAUUUCACCUGUGGUGACGUGCAUAUUAAACUAGGCUUUCCUUACUUGCCCUGGCACCAGGGAGACUGUGAGCAUGUUGUCAUUACUGACAAAAAGUAGUCAUCGUUGCAACUUGGCUUGGGAAUGGCAAAAAUAAGUGUCUGCUUUCCAUGCAAUUAGCAACUCUCUGUAUCCAUUUGCAUCCUCUAUUCAUUUUUUGGGAUAUCUUUAAGAAAUACUUUACUAUUUAUUAGAGGGUUAAAAUCUGUAAAUACUUUUAAAAGUAUCUCCAUUUUUAUAUUAAACAGCUGUUAUUCAGGUACUAGUCACCCACUGUGUAUAUAAUACAGGUUCUUUGCUUUACCUGUUUGCAACUGUGUUUCUAGGCUUGUCUUUUUGGCAAAAUUUGAAGGAGAUAACAAAGAACUAGGGAAAGAGAAGAGUAAUUUUAAUAUUUGACAAGUGUGAAGUCUUAAUUCUUUGAUAGAAAGCUUUAAAUUGGGAAGGAGCUAAGAUAGUCUAGAAUAAGAUUUGUGGAUUAAUUAGUAACCAGUCUCCACAAUUUUAUAUCCAUGCACUGCUUCUCAGAGAGCUAUGAGAAGAAGUAGAAGCACUUCACCCAAAGAGUAAAACCGGGAACAAGAAAGACAUGGGACACCACACAGAGUAGAUUAAACAGACACAAAGGGGAUCUGAGGAUGAUGGGAAAGGGAAAUCCUGAUAUGAGAACUGUCUACAGACCUGGAGAAUAGUUUAAUGCAGAGACGAGCCAGGAGCACAGAGAGUGCAGAGCCCCUGCCGCCAGUGCGUGGUGGCCCGACUCUCUGAGGGUCCUUUCCUCCCGUUGCUGCUGGGCCUGAGCGCAGUGUCCCCCACGCUCCCGCCUCAGCCUGCAGCCGGGAACCUGCCUCUGUGAAGUUCAAGGCCCUCUCUAGGCGCUCUUUUUAGCACUUUGCACAGGACGGGUAUGUUAGCCUGCCCAGCACAGCUGAUGGCAAAACAAAGCGAGAUGCUCUGGAGGGCCCUGGCAGCUCGCAGGAUGACGGGUGUGUUUAUUCUGAGAUGCCUGGGGUACUUGCCAUGCCCGCUUUUUAAAUUUUCUAAACCAAAGUCGAGCAGGCUCAAGCCCCAGCCACCUAGAUUACUGGGAGGGCCAAAAGUACACUUUACCUGCCUCGCCCUCCCCGGCAUCCUCACUCCAGCCACGGCUUCUGCAGGCCAAGGUCGCUGGCGGGGCCUCAAAAUGUGGAGAGUCGUCAUAAUCCAUUCAAGGGCUGCUUGGUUGAGUGCCCCUAAUUGUCGCUCCUGCACCCUGUCAUUGCUCCUGCGGGGCCUGCCUGUUCCUCUGACCCCAGGGUCCAUCAGCCGCCAGCUGCCAAUCCCCUCGGCACCCAAACUUCACCCACAGACACACAGCCCUUGCCUAGGCCACCUCACGCCAUGUGGGGGGAGCGUGGGGCCCUUCCUCAGUCCUCCCCUGGGUCUCUGUGGUGGAGUCCCUCCUGCCCUGCAGAUGUGGGCAAGACAGUCCCCACUUCAUAUGUCCUGGAGGCCCAGAAGCAGCAAUGAGGGCCCAGUGACACCCUAAGUUCCUGUGGCCCUGAUUUGUGGGGUCUGAGCUGUGUCUUGAUCACUUUCCCCCCACCCAGCCCUGCACCUGCCCCCGCCUUUGCGCGUGAAGGUGGCGCCUCUUCCCCUGUCUUCCCCACUGCAGGCAGGAGGCAGGGAUGUUGGAAGCUGCAGUGAACUUGGCAAGACUGAGUGGGAAUGAGGACUGCGCUCCAAGGUGCCCUUCCCCAGAUGGGCUGGAGCCUCCCCUCAGAUGUUAGGGUGUCCUGUCUGGUACCUGCUUGCGCAGCACUAUCCCCCAGGCAUUAACUCCGUGCGACAGCCUGGAGCCCUGGGGGGUGGCCGUGUUACUGUAAGUCACGGGGGUUGGGGGGGUGCGCUGACUUGCUGGUGGAGGGCGGGGGCACCAACCACGUCUCCCUUCCCAGCUCCACCCACUCUAUUCUAAGGCUGGGUCUGCAGCCAUCCUUCCCCCAGUGCAAACAGCUGACCUGGAAGGUUCUUGAAGCAAGUCCAGAUGCCCGUUCUGAAGCACUGCAGCAUCUGCCGCCGUCCCACAGAUCUCCCUGCCUGAGGUCCUCCUUCCAGAGUUGCCCCCUUCUGCAGGGAGCCACACCCGGGACUUGUGGUUCUCAAAGCUGGGGGCCCCAAGGUCAAAUUACUUUCCUGAUAAUGCUAAGGUGAUAUUUGCCUUGUCACUUUCAUUCUCUCACAGAGUACACAGUGUUCAUUGAUAACGUUUCAGAUUCCUUAUUACAACUAACCUUUAAGAAACUACCUCUUGUCAAGUUUUGGUAUAGUAUCAAAGAGGAACAUCCAUAAUUAUGUAAAGUCAUUGAAAUAUUACUUCCCUUCCCAACCCUGUACCUGUGCGAGGCCAGAAUUCAUCUAUAUGCUUCAACCAAAACAAAACAAAAAAACCAGAUCAAACAGAAAAGCAGAUGAGAAUCUUCCUGUAUUCUACAAGCUACACAUUAAAGAGAUUUACAAAAUUGUAAGUUUUUUUGAAAAUAUAGUCCUCCCUUAGUAUGCUCGAGGGGUUGGUUCCAGGACCCCCUUCCACCUCGAGGACACCAAAAUCUCCAGAUGCUGGAGUUCCCUGUCUGUCCUGUGAGUCAACCAACCGCAGAGCGACGGCGGCACCCCUGGGUGCAGACCGGGGUGCAGAGGGCGACCGUGUGAUGACUUUUGAUGGAAAUGUAUCAUUUACGUUAAAAUGUGAUGCUUUUAUUGUCAUUUUCAAAUGUUAAUAAAUAUUUCUACAAUUUCUUAGGUUUUGUUUCUAAUAAUAACCCACAUAUACAAAAGCUCUUUGGAGUCCUCAGUAGUUUUAAGAGCAUAAGGGGGUCUUCAGAUUUAAAAGUUUGAGAACCACCAUACUAGACAAAAGUCAAAUGCCUCUCUCCUAGGGCAGGAGUUUUGUUCCAGAAGAUACCAAUUUAGGACAGUCCAUGAGUGUUGCAAAGGUGGUGCCCUGCCCUCUGGCCGCCCCAGUGCUUGAGCCGGGGCCUGUCCAAGGCAUGGGCAGGAGGGUGUGCUCAGGCCCAGGACACUGGUGUCAGGGACCACGGGAGUGGACCCUGCGUUCUCCACGAAGGGCUUCAGGGUCUAAGACUGGGCUGUAUGAGUUUUCCUUACUGUGUCUCCUCAGCAUUUUCUUGGGUAUCACAGAAAAACCCUAAUAAGGACUACCAUCAGAUUCCUGUAGGAGCUUCCAAGCUCCUCAUCCUGGGACAGUUGUAGCGCUCCAAUCGGCAGGGACUCCGGAGACAGGCUCAGCUCCACACUCUGGGUCACAGCCACUGUCUCAAAAACCUGUUGCCUCCAACUCCAGGGCUAUAAGGUGAGGCACUAGCAGAAGCCCUCAUGCCCCUCCCUGGUUCAUGGCAUUUUACUCAGGCUUGGUAAUGUUUCCAUUCUCUUAUGCGGCUGUAAUUUUUCCAGAUGUUUAAUUGUGCUUCAGUAUUUAAGUGGAUCAAUUCAGUGCUCAGGGCUAUACUUUCCCCAUUCUGGAGUUUCUUAUUUUGAUUAAUCUCUUGAUUGGCUGCAUUUCAUCAUUAAGUAGUUUUUCCCAGAAGGCUCAUGACUGCUGUAUACCUUGAGAUAGUUCGCACUUGAGAAGAUCUCUCUGUUGCCUUUAUACUCAAAUGAUGACUUUUCUGGGUCUAGUAGUGUGGGGUCACUCUUCUUAAAAGUGCAUGAACAUUGAUGAGUUGAUGCCUGCCGACAUGAAAUGCUGUGGUGGAGGAGUCUGAGGCCAGCCUGGUUUUUACAGAUAACUUGUUUUUUCUGGUUGGAUACCUGAAAACAUCUUUCUUCAUCCUCAAAGUUCAAUACCUUAGCCAGAAUGGGUCUCAUUGCCUAUUGCUCUAUAUCAGACUUCCUUGUCAUGUUUUUUCUUUCUUUCUUUGGUUUCUUUCUA